RNAcentral lists this ribosomal RNA (931 nucleotides) under uncultured archaeon. RNAcentral describes it as "bacterial SSU rRNA". It matches the Rfam family "Archaeal small subunit ribosomal RNA", at positions 1 to 922 of the family's 1478-position model. The record is from RNAcentral.
UUCCGGUUGAUCCUGCCGGACCCGACUGCUAUUUGGGUGAGGAUAAGCCAUGCGAGUCGUAUGGGAUACCUAAAAUUUCCAUGGCAGACUGCUCAGUAACACAUGAUCAACUUACCCUAUAGAGAAAAAUAACCUCGGGAAACUGAGGAUAAUAUUUCAUAAUUGAAAAGGCUUGGAAAAGUUUUUCAACGAAAUGGAUAAGAAAAAUGGUUCUUAUCUGCUAUAGGAUAGGAUCGUGGUCGAUUAUGGUUGUUGGUGAGGUAACGGCUCACCAAGCCGAUAAUCGAUAGGGGCCGUGAGAGCGGGAGCCCCGAGAUGGGUACUGAGACAACGACCCAGGCCUUACGAGGCGCAGCAGGCGCGAAACCUCCGCAAUACACGAAAGUGUGACGGGGUUACCCAAAGUGUUCAAUUUUGAACUGUGGCAGGUGAGUAAUGUCCCCUGCUAGAAAGGAGAGGGCAAGGCUGGUGCCAGCCGCCGCGGUAAAACCAGCUCUUCAAGUGGUCGGGAUAAUUAUUGGGCUUAAAGUGUCCGUAGCCGGUUUAGAAAGUUCCUGGUAAAAUCGGGUAGCUUAACUAUCCGUAUGCUAGGAAUACUACUAUACUAGAGGGCGGGAGAGGUCUGAGGUACUACAGGGGUAGGGGUGAAAUCUUAUAAUCCUUGUAGGACCACCAGUGGCGAAGGCGUCAGACUGGAACGCGCCUGACGGUGAGGGACGAAAGCCAGGGGAGCGAACCGGAUUAGAUACCCGGGUAGUCCUGGCCGUAAACGAUGCAUACUAGUGAUGGUACGGCCAUGAGCCGUGUCAGUGUCGUAGGGAAACCGUUAAGUGUGCCGCCUGGAAGUACGGUCGCAAGGCUAAAACUUAAAGGAAUUGGCGGGGGGAGCACCACAAGGGGUGAGCCUGCGUUUAAUGGAUUCAACGCCGGA